This 253-nucleotide ribosomal RNA is filed under the name uncultured bacterium. Its description in RNAcentral is "partial 16S ribosomal RNA". It matches the Rfam family "Bacterial small subunit ribosomal RNA", at positions 524 to 776 of the family's 1533-position model. The record is from RNAcentral.
UACGUAGGGGGCAAGCGUUGUCCGGAAUCAUUGGGCGUAAAGCGCACGUAGGCGGUCUGUUAUGUCGGAUGUGAAAGCCCUUGGCUUAACUGAGGAAGUGCAUCCGAAACUGGCAGGCUAGAGUACUAAAGAGGGUCGCGGAAUUCCCGGUGUAGAGGUGAAAUUCGUAGAUAUCAGGAGGAACACCGGUGGCGAAGGCGGAUCUCUGGGCCGAUAUUGACGCUGAGGAGCGAAAGCGUGGGGAGCGAACAGG